ACCUUUAUAGGAUGGAAGAGGCUCUGGUGUUUUAAAAUCGCUCCAUGGAGGUCCCAGUGUUCCCCUGCAGUGUCGUUGCUGCUUGUUUCAUAUUACCAUUGCUAUUGAUCUUGUCGUUUUGUCAUGUAGAGGAGGGGAGGUUUUUUAAAUGAUCCAAAGGAGUUCCCUGGUGGCUCAGUGAGUUAAGGAUCUGAUGUCACUGCUGUGGCUCAGGUUGCUGCUACGGUGCGGGUUUGAUCCCUGGCCCGGGGAACUUCUGCAUGCCAAAGACGCAGCCCAAAAAAGCGAUGCAAAAGGAUCCACUCAGGGAGAUGAAGGUGCUGGGCGUGCCCUCGCCCAUCCCACCCUCUCUCUGCUCAGCUGCUGGAGAACGCGCUCUAGUCUGACUUUCAUUUGUUAGUUCUGUCCCCACGCCCUCCCUCCCUCUCGCUCUCUCCCUCCUUCCCUCUCCUUUCCCUUUCUCUCUCUCUCUCUUCCUCCAAAAGAGAUAUCAUGUGUGGUUUUUCUUUUUGCACCCCUGGCUUCCAGGCCCCCCCCAGCCCCACCCCCUGUAGUGGAUACUCCUUUAGCAGUGAAUGAAUAAAUAGUGGAACAGGGAGUUCCCGUUAUGGCGCAGUGGAAACGAAUCCGACUAGUAUCCAUGAGGACGCAGGUUCGAUCCCUGGCCUCGCUCAGUCGGUUAAGGAUCCAGUGUUGCCGUGAGCUGUGGUGUCGGUCACAGAUGCGGCUCGGAUCCCAUGUUGCUAUGACUGUGGUGUAAGCCCCAGCUCCGAUUAGACCCCUAGCCUGGGAACUUCCCUGUGCCAUACAUGCCCUAAAAAGCAAACAACAACAAGAACAAUAACAAACAGUGGAGCAAAUUUCCCACCAUCCCCCUAAGUCCCUGAGAUUUUAUUCUACAGGAUGAAAGGGAAUUUACUGUGAUCAGGAGGCUGUGGGCCCACACAGGGGACACUCAUUUGGUUGCAAGGAUGCUCUUGAAUCCCUCCAAAGAUGCUUGUGAAUUCACUGGGCCACAAUAGGUAUGAACUUAUGACACCUUUGCCAGCUCUUCCCGAAGGGAAAACUUAAACACAACCCAUCAUUGUUUGUUUGCUCAACUGCAGAUAGUCAGUGAAGGAGACAGGAGCUUCUCAUACCUGACCCCACAGAGGGGUGGGGACCCCAUUGCUGGGACCCUUGACCUUGUAGGUGCAGCCAAAGAGGGUUGCAUCACCCCAAACUGGACUUGGCUGUUUGUCCUUGAGGUUCUCAGUCGGCCUCUUCUAGAAACAAGCUAGGGCCCCUGAGUUCCACUGUGGACCACGAACGCCCUGCAUCCAGAAGCCCUGAACCCCCACAAGGAUGUCUAGCCUUUCUGUCUGCAAGGCAAGUGUUCCCUUUAUUACUGGUAAUCAAAGAUGAUGUGUUCAGACAAGACAGCAUUUUCCUCCCGCUGCAUCAUGCUGGGUUUCUAUGGCAACGGUUUCAAAGAUGGUGAAUUUGAUUUUUCUUCUUAAUCUCUAAUGCUCUCAGCCAUCCCCAAAUAUCCUUGUUAUCCUGGGCCUUUGGUGGACCUGGAGAUAUUCAGCCACAGCAAGGAGAACCACCUCAUCCACCGUGGGAUGUUGUAUCAAAGCGGGCAAGAUGCAGCAAGUAAUGGAGAAAACUUUCUUAACAAAAAAUGUUUUUCGCAGCUACUCUGUGUGAGUUGCUAUGCUAGGCACUGAGGAUUCAGAGAGAAAUGAGCUCCUGUCCUUCAAAAGCUCACAGUCCCUGGAGUUCCCAUGGCAGCUCGGUGGUAACGAACCCGACUAGAAUCCGUGAAGACUCGGGUUCGAUCCCUGGCCCCACUCAUUGGGUCAGGGAUCCAGCAUUGCUGUGAGCUGUGGUAUAGGUCACAGAUGCGGCUCGGAUCCCAUGUUGCUGUGGCUAUGGUGUAGGCCAGCAGCUGCAGCUCUGAUUCUACCCCAAGCCUGGAAACCUCUAUAUGCCUCGGGAGUGGCCCUAAAAAGACUAAAAAAAAAAACCUCACAAUCUCUAGGAAAGGUAAACAAGCACGCAGCUAGCUAUAAUGUUAAUUUAACAUACCAUUAGAUAAUAUAAUAUUCUGUUAGCACAUAGCUGACUAUGGUGUAAUGUAAUCUAACAUGAUGUGUUCGUACAUAGCUAACUAUAAUACAAUGUAUAUAUUGUAAUAUAAUAAAUAUAAUGUAAUGUAACCUAAUAAAUAUUUCAUCAGUUGUAAGAAUAAAUUAGUGUGGGGCUCCAGUGGAGAAAGCCAUUCAGCCUAGAGGAACAGCAAGGGUUAGGAGCUGGCAGAUGGGGAUGGUGAUUCCUGAUCAGUUUCUUGGAGCUGUGCAAGCUCAGAGAAAUGACUGCCCCUCUCUGAGCUCCCAGCCACCCUCCUCGUGCUGGGCUGGUGUGAGGCUGAAAUGGCACCCACCCAGUCCACAGCCACUCUUCCUUGGGACUUCCUGCUCAUCUCUGGUCGGCCCCUGGGUGCUCAGGAGAGGACGUGAGCAGAGGCAGAGGACCCGUAGGCGUGGAGGAGCAGGUGAGCCUGCUGCAAAGGCAGCAGCCUGAGCAGUGAAAUGCUUCAUGAAAGUGCCUGGCACGCAGGGCUCGGGGGAAGGAAGAAGGGCAGUGUGGCCCAGACAGGUGAUGGGAUCUGACCCAUCCAUCACUGCGUGCCCUCUGCCUUCCCCUCUUUGAGGGAAUGAAGCAUCUGUCCUCUUGGUCGGACACAGCCACGUAGAGCGACUCUGGAGGGCUGCGGGGCGAUGUCGCACAUUCUCCCCCUCGGCGUGUGCCUCUGUCUCCUCUCCUUGCCCCAUCAGACAAACAUGGUGAUGCCACCCACCCCAGGGGGUUGUUCGUGAUAAAACACCAUCAUGCUCGUAAGAUGCCCAGUGCAUACCUGGCAUAGAGCAGGCUCUCAAUACAUAGUGGUUUUUAUUUUUAUUUCCUAUGCUUUGCUUUUAAUUAAAAACUCUUCAGCACGUAAGCAUUAACCCACAAGAGUGGCAGGUAUUGACAUUAGGCAGCAACUGUUGCCAUUAACUUCAGGCUACAUGGAAGAAAAACAGAAAAAUGAGUAACUGACUAUGUGCUGUAAAUCUUGAUUUAAGGGUAGAACGGCUUUUUUCCCUCAUGUUCUUUCAACAAAACAGCCAAGUUUGGAGGCCAGUUCUCUGCCAGGGUUUUCCCCCCAACCCCAGGUAUCAGGAGAAAGCCUUCGCAAUUGGUGAUCCGAAAGCCUGGAUGCCAUUCUCCGUUGUAUGAUGCGCCCUGGAGUGAUUUGAGGCCAGAUGCCUAAAAGCUUGGGGCUAGAGGAGCGGUCACGACAGGCCAGACCCGGCACUGAUUCUGGCCGUGAGCUUCAGCAUCUGCAGUAGGAGGCAGAACCUGCCUGCUGAUCCUGUCACAGAGAGGAGAAAAGGAGGUCCCGCUUCCACGUGAGACCAAGGCAGAACAAGCACACAUCUGGUAUCGAGGGCAUCAGCCGGUCAGCACAGCGGGCAGAGAAGGCGGGCAGAGCACAGCUGAGUUUCUCAGCAAAAGCCUGCAUAUCUGGCCCCUGUAGAAAGUUUCCAUCUAUUGCUACUUUAUUGCCUUUAGCACCUCUGUUCCAGGUGCUGAGCCCUGGCACAUGCUGAUUUUCCUAGUAAUACUCUUGGAGCCUUGCCAGGUACCCCACAAUACUCGGGCAGUUGGAAUUCGGGCUCUGGAACUUCGGGACCAUGGAACCUGUUGAAGCCUCAGUUUUGCCAUCUGUACGAUGGGGAACGAUCACCUCCCAUCGAGGCACCCUGGCUGACCCCGGGCAGGCGUGGGGUGGGCGUGGCGCAAGGUGCCAUGGGCAGGGCAUGUGGAGCUGGACAGCAGGCUGGGUGGCUUUGGGAGACUUCAGCCUCCUCCUCUGGCCUCGAAGGCUCAGGGCUCAGGGCCUGACAACUGACCAUGACCUUGGAGAGUGAACUCUGAGGUGGAGUCCCAGGACACUGAUGCUGCUGCUUUGGGCUCCACAAAUCACUGCCUUGUCUUAGGUCUUAAAGGCUUUCAAGUGUGUUGAUUUAGAGGCAGUGACUCCCUGUUUUAUUCUGGGGCCCUUCUUCUUGGCUUAUUUUCACAACCUGGAAGUUUCGAUGGGGCCCUGGGCCCAGAUGCCACCGCCACCAUGUUAAAAAGUCUCCAAACCCCUGCUUAUUAGCAUUUCUUCCAGCACUUUCCACAGGUCCCAGGGGAAGAAAUGAACAGAGCAAGAUGUCAUCCUGCUCCCAUUUCAUAUACUCCACCUCAACCCCUGUACCCGGAGCCGGAGCCGAGGCCUGGGUGCUUCGGCCAAAGGAGAAUUGGGGCUGGAGGGGCGAUUUUAGGCAGAUGCCUAAAACUUGGGGCUAGAGGGGCGGUCGCUACAGACCAGACCCGGCACUGAUUCUGGCCCUGAGCUUCAGCGUGGAGGGUGCUCUGGGGGUCGUCUCUGCAUUUCCCUCAGUGAGGACUCGGAUGCCCAGAAUCUUACAGUCUCUGCAUGGUUGUUUACUUUUUACAUAAGCGAGUUCCCCCUUUGGUGUCGCCCAGGGCACCCUGACCUGGGUCACGGGCGUGGACUCAGCGUCCUUCUCUCCCCGGAGCUGGGUACCUGUCAUGUCCUCAACGCUCCAUCUGAGCCUCUCUGGGGAGGCCCUUGGCAGAGAAAACUCAGACUGUGUUUAGAGAAAUGCAGGGCCUCGGGGAGGGGGACACACUUGAGGCGUGUGGCUGCUGGACCCAGAUUCUGAGCUUGAACUGCUGUGUGGGUCGCAAAGUUCCACUGAUCUGUGCACCUGAAUUCUCUCAUUCGUGUUCUCUCUCUCUCUCUCUCACACACGCACACACACACACACCUUCUGACCCCCACUCCUUGUUAGCCAAGGAACUGACCUUGUGCAAACUCCUUAACCCUUUCGAGAGGCAGGUUCUGCAUCCCUGUUUGUUGAAGGCAUUAGUAAAAGCAACCCUCCCUGGGCUGUUAGCCGUUAUAAAAAUCCAGGCUGAAGCCAUGCCCAGAAGUGGCCACACAGCCCACAUCCAGGUCCAGCCUCUGCCCUCAGAAGGCCCCUGCCUCACCCCGCGCUCUCUAUCCUGGGGGCCUGCAGGUCGCUGGCAGGCAGCUAAAUGAAUGGGCUCCCUGCGAUGCCCUCUGCCUGCAGUUCACAGGGACCUCUGAGCUCAUCCCGAUCUGUCAUUUGAGGCGCAAAGAAGGGAAAACAAUAUCCCUUGAAGUGGGAAUUGCCUGCAUAGAGGGUCCAUCUCAAAAGUCAUUUGAAUCAAUUCGAGAUUCCUGUACAAGCCUCACUGCUCUUAUUCUUCUUAAGGGAGAUUUUUGAAAUAGGAUAGACAUGCGGGCAAAUGGACAGCUUGAUGUGUCGUCAGGCCCGGGUGACCAGCUCCCAGGUCAAAACACAGCUAGCCCCUCCCUCAAGCCCCCUUGUCCUCUUCCCAGACUUCACCCCCCACCCCGGGAGCAACUCUAUCGCUGACACCAGAUACUAGUUUUGCCUGGUUCCGACCUUUAGAAAAAUCAGUUUCCCAACCUGCCCCUCUUGGCAUUUGGGAGGACCCUGUGGCCAGGGGCUGCCCUGUGCUCUGUAGGGCGUGGGCACCAUUCCAGCCUCCACCCACUGGAUGCCAGGAGCAUCCCCUCCCCACCCGCUGUGACAAUCAAACUGUCUGCAGAGAUCACUGGAAGUCACCUGGGGCAGAAUAGCUCCAGGCCAAGAACAGUGAUGAGAAUGGAAUCCUACUGCAGCCGCCUCCUCUUCUGUCUGAGGGCUUCCUUUUGUUUCGUUUUGUCAACAUUGUGUUUGGGAGAGUCAUCCACGCUGCUGUGUGGAUUGUGGUU
RNAcentral lists this long non-coding RNA (5866 nucleotides) under Sus scrofa (pig). Its description in RNAcentral is "lncRNA (ENSSSCG00050026285.1)". The record is from RNAcentral. Lineage: Eukaryota; Metazoa; Chordata; Mammalia; Artiodactyla; Suidae.